Gallus gallus (chicken) is the source of this 2524-nucleotide long non-coding RNA. NCBI's taxonomy places the organism in Eukaryota, Metazoa, Chordata, Aves, Galliformes, Phasianidae. The record is from Ensembl.
CAUCAAUAAUACCUGACAGGCCACGAGAGCAAAAUAAUGAUGAUGAAGGCCUCCACUGCCUAUCUGCCAUACUUCUCAGUAUACUUCCUCUCUGUCUCCUCCUGCCAGCUGUGAAAAAGACAGGAGUGUAAACCUGCAGAGAUCUCAGGCAGUUCUUGGAAAGUCUGCCAUAGUAGGCACAUCCUUCCAUGUGGCAAGCUGCUGCAGGAGCUAUGCCUUCCAGGCUGUAAUUCUUGGACUACCUCUGUAGCAUGCCCAGCACUGAUGUGCACAUACAGGGCUUCAUUUGCCAAUUUGAGGCUGCCUAACCUAAGCCUCUGUCACUGUUCCCUGGGUGAAAGACUUUGAAGAGCAUUUUCCUUGUACCCACAGCAGAGAUUGUCCAACACCUUUUGUGUGCAUCUUACUGCCUGAUAUUCCCUAGGGUUAUGAUGCUUUAUUACUUGUUCAUUGGAAAAACAACAACAAAACCAACACAACAACAAAACAAAAAAUUAGGUGAGAAUUAGCCUCAUAAAAUGAGAAAGCAUGCAAACCUAGAUCAUGGAUUCAUAGUAAUCUGAGUUUGCAAGAAUAUUUAUUUUCAAAUACAGAAAUAAGCUUACUUUAAUUAAGUACAUUGUAGGUAACCCAUGCUUUAGGAUUAGUUAAUAAUAUAAAACACUUCACAGAUCAAAUAAGAUAUUUUAUGUUUCUGCAGAGCAUUCAGCUUCUCAGUUUCCAGUAGAUUUUUUCUAGCAGAAACUUCCUAGGACUUCAUAGAUCUGUUUUAUUAAUCGAAAUAAUAUUGAAAGCAAUAAUAAAAAUAGGACAUAUGGUGUUUACAGCAUGUGACAAACAUCUCAAAGUAAGAAAAGCGUAUCAACAUACGCAUACAUCUUUUCUUCUUUUUAAAUUCUGUAGUAUUUUGAGAAGAUUGGUUUGGAAGAUGAAAAUACAAUUUCUUAACAGAUCACCUAUUGUGAAUUGUCAGUGACUUUUCAGCCAGAUCGAUUUUGAAUCCAUAAGCAUACUAGUGAACAAGUCAGCUGUGAGUUUAAUUGCUUUUCACUCAUUAUUUAACUAUUCGUAAUCCGUCUUUUCUCUUUUGUCACUUAUAAUUAUUUUUUAAUGUGCUUCAUGCAAAGUCAGGUGAAAUUUCACAGUGUGGCAGUACAGCAGCUACAAUUUGCAGCCUGCCAAAAACAUCUGUGGCUGUAUUUCAGUGUACAAAUUAUUCUGGUUGCAGAAUACUGGGUUUACAUGGAAGGUUUUUGUAGUGGGGGUGCUGCAGGGCUGGCCUGAGUGGCUUCCGUCCACAUUUCAAGGCUCUCAUGCAGGUUUUUAUCUUUACUUUCCAAAUGAGUAGAUAUAUAUGCAGCAUGCUUGGCUGAGUCAUGUCACUCUGCAGCUUUAAAUAGCAUCAUCAAAGCCUGGAAGAGGGAGCUGGACUCAGUAUUUCUGUAACAACAUGUCAGUCAAGGACAAAAGAGCUCUGUGUAGCUCCCUAUUCUGAAACACAAGGGAGAAGGAGUGUCAGCGGGUGGGAAAAGUAUCAUGCAGUGCUGCCUUGUUACUGUAAGGGACCUCCCUGGAUAUAGUCACGCUUUUAUUUCGGUACUGCUGAAAGGCUGUAGCACCAGCAAUGUGGUUUGUCCAAGUAAAUCCUCAGAAGAUAUUUUUGUGGGUUUUGGAUGUUUCAAGCUCUCGGCUCUUCGAUUUGCACUUUUUCCUUCGGAGUGAAACUCUCAGUUAGUCUUGUAGUCAGCACAGGCUCUGUCACCCAGCAUUUCAUUGCCCUUCAGCCCUCAGAAAUUUUUCUGCAUAGCACAACAGAUGCACUGAGCCAAUAGAAGACCGUAUAGAAGACUUUGAGCUCUUUAAACAAGGGCCAGUAGGGCCCACCUCACGUCAACACGCCUAGAGGAGGCUUUACGCCUUUCACACGUGAAACCAAAACAGGAGGCUCAGCAGGGAGCAGUAGUUGGCUGCAGUAGAUAAGACUGGAAGGCUUCAGGAGAGGUGUGGAAAGACUGAAGCUCUCAAGCUUAAAGCUAAGCUUGGAGAAAUAGUCAGGUUGCUUGGAUCAUUCUUUGUUUGCAUUCCUUAUUUUCAACUUCGUAGUUAUAAGUCUUUAGCAAAAUUCUGAGGACAGUUUUCUACGGCAUGGUUUUGCCACUUGAUGAAUGGGCAUAUCAGCUUGCAUCUAUUUAAACAGUUCAUUUUAUAGCACUUUAUAGAGCUCUCCAAUUGUUUAGCUCCAGCUACCUCCUACUGUGCUGUGGAAUAACAAAGUAAAACAGUAUCUGUACUAGAUUAUUCAUCUUAUUUCUUCCUGCAGACUAAUAGAAGCUGAAAGUACCAUCAGAUCAUUUUGUUUUACUUUCUAUGCAGUUACUUCAGUGUUAAUCCUGUGGCUGACCAAAGUCUCUCAUGGAGGAAAAUGACCCCUCUUCUUUUUAAAGAUAUCAGGAAAGAUCUUGUGGAACUAUAUUCUAAUGGGUGAUUAUCUUCCAAUAAAAAAGUAUGCAAUUUGUUUUUUGCC